This 483-nucleotide ribosomal RNA is filed under the name uncultured bacterium. Its description in RNAcentral is "bacterial SSU rRNA". It matches the Rfam family "Bacterial small subunit ribosomal RNA", at positions 31 to 507 of the family's 1533-position model. The record is from RNAcentral.
ACGGAACGCUGGCGCGUGCUUAAUACAUGCAAGUCGAGCGAGGUUACUGUUUCGGAUCCCUUCGGGGUGAAAAAGCUUUAACCUAGCGGCGGACGGGUGAGUAACGCGUGGGUAACCUACCCCAAAGUCCGGGAUAACAGCGGGAAACCGCUGCUAAUACCGGAUGCCUUUACCUUGGGGCAUCUUGAGGUAAAGAAGGUAACGCUUUGGGAUGGGCCCGGUCCCAUUAGCUAGUUGGUGAGGUAACGGCUCACCAAGGCGACGAUGGGUAGCCGGCCUGAGAGGGUGGACGGCCACACUGGGACUGAGACACGGCCCAGACUCCUACGGGAGGCAGCAGUAGGGAAUAUUGCGCAAUGGACGGAAGUCUGACGCAGCGACGCCGCGUGAGUGAUGAAGGUCUUCGGAUCGUAAAGCUCUGUCCUUGGGGAAGAAGGCGAAAGCUUGACGGUACCCAAGAAGAAAGCCCCGGCUAACUACGUG